This 253-nucleotide ribosomal RNA is filed under the name uncultured bacterium. RNAcentral's name for it is "partial 16S ribosomal RNA". It matches the Rfam family "Bacterial small subunit ribosomal RNA", at positions 524 to 776 of the family's 1533-position model. The record is from RNAcentral.
UACGGAGGGGGCUAGCGUUGUUCGGAAUUACUGGGCGUAAAGGGCGCGUAGGCGGUCUGUCGCGUCGGGCGUGAAAGCCCUGGGCUCAACCUGGGAUGUGCGCACGAUACCGACAGGCUGGAGACCGGGAGAGGAGAGUGGAAUUCCCAGUGUAGAGGUGAAAUUCGUAGAUAUUGGGAAGAACACCGGUGGCGAAGGCGGCUCUCUGGCCCGGUUCUGACGCUGAGGCGCGAAAGCGUGGGGAGCAAACAGG